RNAcentral lists this ribosomal RNA (600 nucleotides) under uncultured bacterium. RNAcentral describes it as "bacterial SSU rRNA". It matches the Rfam family "Bacterial small subunit ribosomal RNA", at positions 88 to 678 of the family's 1533-position model. The record is from RNAcentral.
AGAGAGAGCGGCGUACGGGUGCGGAACACGUGUGCACUGCUUUAUCAGGGGGAUAGCCUUUCGAAAGGAAGAUUAAUACCCCAUAAUAUAUUUAAUGGCAUCAUUAGAUAUUGAAAACUCCGGUGGAUAGAGAUGGGCACGCGCAAGAUUAGAUAGUUGGUAGGGUAACGGCCUACCAAGUCAGUGAUCUUUAGGGGGGCCUGAGAGGGUGAUCCCCCACACUGGAACUGAGACACGGACCAGGCUCCUACGGGAGGCAGCAGUGAGGAAUAUUGGUCAAUGGGCGAGAGCCUGAACCAGCCAAAUCGCGUGAAGGAAGACUGCCUUAUGGGUUGUAAACUUCUUUUAUACAGGAAUAAAAAGGGGGACGUGUCCCUUAUUGCAUGUACUGUAUGAAUAAGCAUCGGCUAACUCCGUGCCAGCAGCCGCGGUAAUACGGAGGAUGCGAGCGUUAUCCGGAUUUAUUGGGUUUAAAGGGUGCGCAGGCGGGCUUUUAAGUCAGCGGUGAAAUCUCGGGGGCUUACUCCGAAAAUUGGCCGUUGGAAACUGGGGAGUCUUUGAGUAUGGGGAUUGAAAGUAAGGCGGAAAUUCCGGUUGUGG